This 1458-nucleotide ribosomal RNA is filed under the name metagenome. RNAcentral's name for it is "bacterial SSU rRNA". It matches the Rfam family "Archaeal small subunit ribosomal RNA". The record is from RNAcentral.
UCCAGUUGAUCCUACUGGAGAUCACCGCUUUCGGAGUUCGAAUUUACCCAUGCAAGUCAGCUGGCCAAGUGUGGUCAGCGGCGAACGGCUUAGUAACACGUAGACAAUCUGCCCUAUAGCCUGAGAUAAGAGCGGGAAACUGCUUUCAAUACCAGAUAGGCUUUGGAUACUGGAAUGUUCCAAAACCCAAAGGGCUUAACCUUUCUGUUAAGUUCCGCUAUAGGAUGAGUCUGCGGCUGAUCAGGCUGUUGGUAAGGUAACGGCUUACCAAACCAAAGACCAGUAGGGGUCUUGAGAGAGAGAGCCCCAAGAGGGACACUGAGACAAGGGUCCCAGUCCUACGGGAUGCAGCAGGGUCGAGUUCUCUACAAUGCACGUAAGUGUGAUAGGGGGACUCCGAGUGCUUAUGUUUUACAUAGGCUUUUGCCAAGUGUAAAUAGCUUGGCGAAUAAGGGGUGGGCAAGACCGGUGGCAGCAGCCGCGGUAAUACCGGCGCCCCGAGUGGUGGUCGUUUUUAUUGGGCCUAAAGCGUUCGUAGCCGGUUUAGUAUGCUUUUGGUGAAAUCCAUGCGCUCAACGUAUGGACGUGCCAGAAGAACUGCUAGACUAGGGACCGGGAGAAGUAAGGAGUAUUGUUGGGGUAAGGGUAAAAUCUUAUAAUCCCAACAAGACUACCUGUGGCGAAGGCGCCUUACUAGAACGGGUCCGACGGUGAGGGACGAAAGCUGAGGGAGCGAACGGGAUUAGAUACCCCGGUAGUCUCAGCCGUAAACGCUGUCUGUUAGGUGUUACACGUUGUUCGACGGCGUGUAGUGCCGAAGCGAAGGCAUUAAACAGACCGCCUGGGGAGUACGGUCGCAAGGCUGAAACUUAAAGGAAUAGGCGGGGGAGCACAGCAAGGGGUGAAGCCUGCGGUUCAAUCGGAUUCGACGCCGGGAAUCUCACCAGGACUGACAGCACUAUGAAGGUCAACUUGAAGGGUUUACCUGAGGCGCUGAGAGGUGGUGCAUGGCCGCCGUCAGCUCGUGUCGUGAGAUGUCUUGUUAAGUCAAGCAACGAGCGAGACCCUCAUUAUUAGUUGCUAGUCCCCAUGUUUAUGGGAACGCACACUAGUAGGACUGCCUGUGUAAACAGGAGGAAGGUGAGGGCGACGUCAGGUCAGUAUGCCCCGAAUGUCUUGGGCUACACGCGGGCUGCAAUGGCUUGGGCAAUGAGCUGCGACACCGAAAGGUGAAGCCAAUCUCCUAAACCAAGUCCCAGUUCGGAUCGAGGAUUGUAACUCAUCCUCGUGAAGCCGGAAUCCCUAGUAACCGUAUUUCAUAAUGGUACGGUGAAUACGUCCCUGCUCCUUGCACUCACCGCCCGUCAUACCAUUCGAGUUGGGUGGGAAUGAGGUUCUAUCAUCUCGAGUUAGUUUCAAAUUUCCAUUCAGCGAGAGGGGUAAAGUCGUCACAAGGUA